AGUGAACGCUGGCGGUAGGCCUAACACAUGCAAGUCGAACGGCAGCACAGUAAGAGCUUGCUCUUACGGGUGGCGAGUGGCGGACGGGUGAGGAAUACAUCGGAAUCUACUUUUUCGUGGGGGAUAACGUAGGGAAACUUACGCUAAUACCGCAUACGACCUACGGGUGAAAGCAGGGGAUCUUCGGACCUUGCGCGAUUGAAUGAGCCGAUGUCGGAUUAGCUAGUUGGCGGGGUAAAGGCCCACCAAGGCGACGAUCCGUAGCUGGUCUGAGAGGAUGUUCAGCCACACUGGAACUGAGACACGGUCCAAACUCCUACAGGAGGCAGCAGUGGGGAAUAUUGGACAAUGGGCGCAAGCCUGGUCCAGCCAUACCGCGUGGGUGAAGAAGGACUUCGGGUUGUAAAGCCCUUUUGUUGGGCAAGAAAAGCAGCAGGUUAAUACCCCGCUGUUCUGACGGUACCCAAAGAAUAAGCACCGGCUAACUUCGUG
Molecule: ribosomal RNA, 492 nt
Filed under: uncultured bacterium
Lineage: Bacteria
Description: partial 16S ribosomal RNA
Rfam family: Bacterial small subunit ribosomal RNA
Source: RNAcentral